RNAcentral lists this ribosomal RNA (449 nucleotides) under uncultured Rhodospirillales bacterium. RNAcentral's name for it is "bacterial SSU rRNA". It matches the Rfam family "Bacterial small subunit ribosomal RNA", at positions 381 to 847 of the family's 1533-position model. Lineage: Bacteria; Pseudomonadati; Pseudomonadota; Alphaproteobacteria; Rhodospirillales. The record is from RNAcentral.
GCCUGAUCCAGCAAUGCCGCGUGGGUGAAGAAGGUCUUCGGAUUGUAAAGCCCUUUCGGCGGGGACGAUGAUGACGGUACCCGCAGAAGAAGCCCCGGCUAACUUCGUGCCAGCAGCCGCGGUAAUACGAAGGGGGCUAGCGUUGCUCGGAAUGACUGGGCGUAAAGGGCGCGUAAGCGGUUUGUACAGUCGGAUGUGAAAUUCCUGGGCUUAACCUGGGGGCUGCAUUUGAUACUUGCGGGCUUGAGUGAGGAAGAGGGUUGUGGAAUUCCCAGUGUAGAGGUGAAAUUCGUAUAUAUUGGGAAGAACACCGGUGGCGAAGGCGGCUACCUGGUCCUUGACUGACGCUGAGGCGCGAAAGCGUGGGGAGCAAACAGGAUUAGAUACCCUGGUAGUCCACGCUGUAAACGAUGUGUGCUGGAUGUUGGGUGACCUAGUCACUCAUUGUU